AAAAAAAUUCACCUCAAGCUCAACAAAAACUUCAGGGAGUGACCCUACAUCUCCAAGGACCUGACCCACCAACCGAUCAGCACGCGUCAAGGUAGGGUCCAUGGUCGUGCCAACGCCAAUGAGACCUCCUGGCACUGCAAAUUGUAGCUCAUUUUGCUCAGCAUAAAGUGAAACUAUUCUAGUAUAUAUUGGUGUGCACUUGAUAUUCCCUGUCUCAUCUUUAACAACAAUCCCAGGACGAACUUCAAUGAAUUGAUUGACCUUCAAAACACCCCUAAGGAUGCUUCCACCAGCCACACCACCUUUUAUCUCAUCAACCUCAAACCCAGGCUUAUUGACAUCAAAAGAGCGAAUUACAAUCAUAUUAGGUGGUGAGAUAAAGUUCCUCUCUGGAAUGGGGAUCUUUUUCACAAUAUAUUCGCACACAACAUCAAUAUUAUACUUCAGCUGCGCAGAAAUUGGCACCACUGGAGCACCAUCUGCAACAGUUCCCUGGAUAAAUUUCUGAAUGGCCUCAUGUUGGUUGAUGGCUACAUUUUCUUGAAUCAGAUCAACUUUAUUUUGAAGGAUUAUGAUAUGCUGGAGACGCAUAAUUUCAACAGCAGCAAGAUGCUCAGAUGUUUGUGGUUGAGGGCAGCUUUCAUUUGCAGCUAUGAGAAGCAAUGCUCCAUCCAUAAUCGCUGCUCCAUUAAGCAUUGUAGCCAUGAGAAUAUCAUGACCCGGGCAAUCAACAAAAGACACAUGCCUCAGCAAUUUCAUUCUAGAGUUUUCAAACCCAGGUACAUCACACAUAGGACUAUCUUCCUUUCCACUUCCAUAUGCCUUGUAGCACAUAGGCCGGGGGCACUUUUCAUCUUCACACUUGUAUAUCUUUGCAUUUGCAUAUCCAAGCUUAAUUGUAAUGUUACGCUCCAACUCAUUUUUAAAACGAACAGUCUGAACACCAGAUAUUGCUUUCACAACUGUUGACUUACCAUGUGCCACAUGACCUAUGGUGCCUAUAUUUAUAGUUGCCUGGCGAGAUAUGACUUCAGGAGAAAGUGGAUGUAACAAAGUUACAUCCAAUUUACUCAAGUCUUGCUCCAUCAAACCUUUCCGCGACAUUUUUUUACUAUCCUAAGUUCAACCUGAAAGAAAACGGCUGCACCGAUAGAGAUGCGAGCGACCGAGAGAGUAACAGCGAGACCAGCAGAGACAGCAAGUGGGCGCAGCACUCAGCAGCUCGAGAGAGACAAAUUUGAGGGAGAGGGCCGAAGAAAGGGAAGAAAGUGUUUUUAGGGUUUGUUGAUCUUAC
RNAcentral lists this unclassified non-coding RNA (1294 nucleotides) under Hevea brasiliensis (rubber tree). Lineage: Eukaryota; Viridiplantae; Streptophyta; Magnoliopsida; Malpighiales; Euphorbiaceae. The record is from RNAcentral.